Triticum aestivum (bread wheat) is the source of this 125-nucleotide non-coding RNA. The record is from Rfam. Lineage: Eukaryota; Viridiplantae; Streptophyta; Magnoliopsida; Poales; Poaceae.
UAUGUACUCUCUCCGUCCCGAAAUACUUGUCGGAGGAAUGGAUAUAUCUAGACAUAUUUUAAUUUUAGAUACAUCCAUUUUUAUGCAUUUCUUCGAUGAGUAUUUCCGGACGGAGGGAGUAGUAC